Molecule: non-coding RNA, 45 nt
Organism: Schistosoma mattheei
Lineage: Eukaryota; Metazoa; Platyhelminthes; Trematoda; Strigeidida; Schistosomatidae
Source: Rfam
ACCCAGAUGAAGAGUCCCAAAUAGGAUGAGACGCACGUCCUGGAU